RNAcentral lists this non-coding RNA (50 nucleotides) under Trichobilharzia regenti. Lineage: Eukaryota; Metazoa; Platyhelminthes; Trematoda; Strigeidida; Schistosomatidae. The record is from RNAcentral.
GUACUGAUGAAGAGUCCCAGAAUAGGGCGAAACACCUGGUUUUCUAGUAC